CCACUUUCCUGGCAACUGUAAAGCUCCGCGAAGGCGGCUGGAGAGAGGCGCGUGGGAGCUGCGACCCCGGGGCUCGCAGAGGGCAAGGAGGCCAAGGCGGGCUGGACUGUACCUGCCGCCCGCGGCCCCCAGCGCUCCCAGGGAGGAUUCGUUGGCCUUAUUGCCCUAUUACGCUGGCCGAAUUCUGUGCUCUCCGUUUCCAAGUUAUUCUCAGGCCCGCAGAAGACAUAAGGCUUUCAGUGCUUCUGCACACCGUCUCCUGAAUUGAAGUGUGGGCGCAGCCAUUUCCCACUAGGAAUUUUGGUCUGACGGGUCAGGUGCAAGACCUUUGCGUGCAACACCCGAUGAGCAAGUGAAAUUAGACUAAGCGCAAAGGAAAAGUGACAUUAGAAGAAACUGCCUCACUCCAGAGUUCUUGGAAUGGAAUUCCCCAUGCUGUUCAUAUUGAUCUAUGAUUCCUUUGGCCAUCAAAUCUUCCCUUCCCUGGGUUCUUUAUUCUGCAUGACCACAGCUCUCUCCAUGACUUCUGGAGUUGGAGGUUGGUCCAUGCUGUGUUCUACAGAGUGACUGGGGUGGCAACCAGAAGGAGGUUGAACCAUGUCAUCUCAUGCUACUUCUCUGGACUGUAUCCUGCUAGUUUGGCGAAGUUAUGCUGUAACUUGUUUUAAGCACUGUUUCAAAAUCUUUCCUUUUUAUUUCCACAAAUAUUUUUUGGCAACUAUCAUGUGCCAGGCUUCGUUGUAAAGUUUUGCUUUGUGUCUAGAACUCUGCUAGAGUGUUCUGGUGCAGUAAUGAACCAGUAUGCCUAAUCUUAGUGAGUACUGGUGAAGGCAGAGAAUCAAGGAAACUUUUACAAAGUGAUAUGGUAAGUGCUCUAUUUGGGAAGGACAGGAUGCCUUGAGAGCAGGUAGAAGGCACACAGAAUGUGAUCUUGGAAAUUGAGGAAGGCUUCCUGGAGGAGGUGACAUGUAAGUAAGUAUUUCAAGGUUGAAAUAUUUCCGGAGUUAGUUAGAUGAAGAGGAGGAGAUAGAGUGCUCUAGGAGGAGAAAGAAUAUGCAAAGGCCUAGAAGAGUGAGAGCAAGGAAUGAGCUGAAACAAGUUCUGUGCACCUAGAGAGCAGAGUGCACAUUGGGAGGUGGCAAAGGCUAAUGUUGGAGAAGGAAGCAGGGGCCUAAUGAUGAAGGGAAUUGUAGGCCAUGUAAGGGCACUAUUUUAGCUUGGGGUACCCCCAAAACAACAACUGAGGUAAGGGUUCGGGUGGAAGUAGUUUGUUUAGAAGGUGGUCCUAGGAAGCAUGGUGAAGGAAUGGGAAAGUAAGAAAGCCUGAAAAGGCUGUAUUAACCAACAGGGCACUACUCUGGGCAGCUGAAGCUCAGUGCCACUGGAGACCCCUGAAAGAUCAUGUAGGACAUGCCUCUUAGCUGUCGCAUUGACGUGAGGAAGGAGACACAUUUAUCCAGCACUCUUGUCCCUCGUGGGUUGGAGAUUGCUCCUGGGGACCUGCCCUAGCUCCUUAGAGAAUGCCCUUGGGCAGGCUGAGAGACACAAAGCCAUUGCCUGUGUGGGAGCAGUCUGUAAAUGAUAUCCAGGGUGGGCCAACAGGUUGGGAGCAAGGCACUCACAGCAUCUCUUAAGUGUUUAAACUUUGCCUUAAGAGCAAAUGGAAUGUCUUACAGAGUUUUCAGGAAUGCAUUUUAGAAAGUUCACUUUGGCUGAGUGGAGAGGGUUGGUUAGAGUGGGGUAAAACUGAAGUAGACAGAUGAGUUAAGAGUUCUUUUGGGAGUUCCUGCUGUGGCUCAGCAGGUUACGAACCCGACUGGCAUCCAUGAGGACUCAAGUUCAAUCCCUGGCCUCGAUCAGUGGAUUGAGGAUCCAGCAUUGCCGUGAGCUGUGGUGUAGGUCACAGAUGUGGUUCAGAUCCCAUGUUGCUGUGGCUGUGGUGUAGGCUGGCAGCUGCAGUUCUGAUUCUAUCCCUAGCCUGGGAACUUCCAUAUGCUGCAGGUGUGGCUAUAAAAAAAAAAAAAUCAAUAGUUCUUUUAAUAAUAUUUCCUUUCUGCUUCAAUAAGCCUGAGUGAAUUUUGUUGUUUGAAAUCAAGAGCCACCAAAAGGUGAGCUUUUUUGUUUGUGGAGUGAGCUAGGCUGGAGAAAAUGAUGAGUAUAGUUUUUUUUAAUUUUUAUUUUAAAUUAGACUUUAUUUUUUCCCCCCUUUUUUAGGGCUGUACUUGCGGCAUGUGAAAGU
Molecule: long non-coding RNA, 2239 nt
Organism: Sus scrofa (pig)
Lineage: Eukaryota; Metazoa; Chordata; Mammalia; Artiodactyla; Suidae
Source: RefSeq, a predicted model, not a curated record